This 1251-nucleotide long non-coding RNA is filed under the name Theobroma cacao (cacao). Its description in RNAcentral is "long non-coding RNA (TCAC_LNC003349)". Lineage: Eukaryota; Viridiplantae; Streptophyta; Magnoliopsida; Malvales; Malvaceae. The record is from RNAcentral.
GUCAUGCCAACACAAUAACAAUAUGACAUAAGCCAUCAAUUUCCAAUCAUAGAUUUACAACAUACCGGUGGUCUCCAAUUACUCUAUUUUCAAAAUCGUUAUUUCGUUUCAAGACAAUUUAUAAAAUCUUUUUAUUUAAACACAUUUUGUUUACAAAACAUAAAAAUUUACCAUUUGAACUCAUUUUCAUAAAAUUUACCAAAAUCUUAUAAAAACAUACUUUAGAUAAUUAAAAUGAUGGUAAGGUUACUCAUUAUUUCGAGAAUCGAAUUUCUAGAGUACUAUGACUACUGAUCAUCGAGUACAAUUUUCUUACCUUUAUCGGAGGAUUCACCACCUAGACAUAGUACAAAAUCGAGAAACUUACUAUAUUGGUACUAAAUCAAAAUUAAACUAAUUUAGACUACUAAUGCAUGAUAUGUAAUGUAAAAAUGUCCGAAUAGCCGUUUAAAUACGGUAUUCGACCUAAUUCGCACUAUUCUCGGUGUAAUUAGCUAAAACCUCCAAUUUAACUCCAAAUCGAUUUCUUUCACUUUCUACACUCCAAUUAUACUUAAAAUACCUCAAUGACUGUGAAUAUGAUUCAAUUUAUCAGUCCGAAUCAUAAAUCGUACAUGUCUAUACAUUAGGUAAAAAUUCAGAUUUUCAUGCCAAAAUUUCCUAUUAAAUUUCUAGCCUCACCAAUCAUUAAAUAUCACCAAAUUAUCAUGAAAUAUCAUCAAUUUCAGCCUCAAUAUUCUCCCUAGAAAAUUCAGCCCCUUAUGGGUAAUGGGAGAAAAUGAAUUUUUUUCUUGUUAUUUUGUUUCUAAAUAUGCUAAACUAACUAAAAACACUAACAUAACUUAGAAUCAAAUCAAUCCAACUUCAUUCUCUCUCCAUACCCAUUUGGUCAGCCAUGAAUUCACCAUGAAAACNNNNNNNNNNNNNNNNNNNNNNNNNNNNNNNNNNNNUUUUCUUGUUGUUUUGUUUCUAAAUAUGCUAAACUAACUAAAAACACUAACAUAACUUAGAAUCAAAUCAAUCCAACUUCAUUCUCUCUCCAUACCCAUUUGGUCAGCCAUGAAUUCACCAUGAAAACUUGAGUUCUAAGCAUGAAAAAUGAAAAAGAAAGCAUGGGUAGUGUAAAUCACAAGAUAAAAUCACAAAAUUUUACCUUUAUUAGCUUAAUCCCUUGAAAUCCACACUUUUUCUUCAAUUUUCCCACCUAGGUUUUGUUCUUUCUUUGUUGAACUUCACUUCAUGCUUUGGCCG